Molecule: ribosomal RNA, 442 nt
Filed under: uncultured Prevotella sp.
Lineage: Bacteria; Pseudomonadati; Bacteroidota; Bacteroidia; Bacteroidales; Prevotellaceae
Description: bacterial SSU rRNA
Rfam family: Bacterial small subunit ribosomal RNA
Source: RNAcentral
UGAGGAAUAUUGGUCAAUGGGCGGAAGCCUGAACCAGCCAUGCCGCGUGGCGGAAGACGGCCCUAUGGGUCUUAAACGUCUUUGGUCCCGGAGCAAUAAGAGCCACGCGUGGCUCGAUGAGAGUACGGGAAGAACAAGCAUCGGCUAACUCCGUGCCAGCAGCCGCGGUAAUACGGAAGGUCCGGGCGUUAUCCGGAUUUAUUGGGUUUAAAGGGAGCGUAGGCCGGAGAUUAAGCGUGUUGUGAAAUGUAGUGGCUCAACCUCUGCACUGCAGCGCGAACUGGUCUUCUUGAGUACGCACAACGUGGGCGGAAUUCGUGGUGUAGCGGUGAAAUGCUUAGAUAUCACGAAGAACUCCGAUUGCGAAGGCAGCUGACGGUAGCGCAACUGACGCUGAGGCUCGAAAGUGCGGGUAUUGAACAGGAUUAGAUACCCUGGUAGU